Molecule: non-coding RNA, 31 nt
Filed under: Homo sapiens (human)
Lineage: Eukaryota; Metazoa; Chordata; Mammalia; Primates; Hominidae
Also listed under: 2 other names
Source: RNAcentral
AUUUGGUGUAUGUGCUUGGCUGAGGAGCCAA